UGCUCUUUCGAAUCGCUGCAUCACUACCGUUCAACUCCAGACCUUCCACACCCUCAAGUAAAUAAGAUCUAAUCAGACAACUGAUUCCAGAAACAUAAAGCCAUGAUAAGAAUAAUUACUUUGAUCACGGAUGCGUCCAUGGCGACAGACUGCUGCGCUAGGUUUUUCGAGAGGCGAUAAAGAUAUUUUGAAUUUUUUUGGUCUUUAUAGAGAGAGUCUCGACUUUAAUUGUUAUUCUGGUUUUGGGCCGUAACCGUCCUGCUCGUUGGGUCUUAAAUUUAUUCUUCGACUUGUAGUAUUAAACAUAAUCAGACUUGGAGAAAAUUACAAAAAAAAUUAACAUAUAGCAAUUGUUAAUAACAUGCUUUGUACAUUAAAUUCAAGGUUUAAAGAAUAGCUUCGUAGCUGCCAGAAACCAAGCCCUGCUAAUCAAACUCUCAUGUGUUUAACACUGAUUUUUUUUUUAUCAAAGUGUUUUAACACUGAUUAGUUUCAUACUUUUCAUUACAAAAGCUAAAGCUGGACUCAAGACUGAUCUUUCAGUUCAAAUCAGGAAAUGAAGACUUUCCAAAACAAAACACAAAGAAGAAGCUAAAACCGCUUAUCAGUAUCACAGAAGUUCCACGAGGGAAAAAAGGAACUUCGAGCUCCGAUAGUUUGGACUCAUUUUGGCAAAAGAGUUAAAAG
Long non-coding RNA from Brassica rapa (field mustard), 687 nucleotides. RefSeq lists it as uncharacterized. NCBI's taxonomy places the organism in Eukaryota, Viridiplantae, Streptophyta, Magnoliopsida, Brassicales, Brassicaceae. The record is from RefSeq and is a predicted model, not a curated record.